Molecule: non-coding RNA, 119 nt
Organism: Papilio xuthus (Asian swallowtail)
Lineage: Eukaryota; Metazoa; Arthropoda; Insecta; Lepidoptera; Papilionidae
Source: Rfam
GCCAACGUCCAUACCACGUUGAAAACACUGGUUCUCGUCCGAUCACCGAAGUUAAGCAACGUCGGGCGCGGUCAGUACUUGGAUGGGUGACCGCCUGGGAACACCGCGUGAUGUUGGCU